This 415-nucleotide ribosomal RNA is filed under the name uncultured prokaryote. RNAcentral's name for it is "bacterial SSU rRNA". It matches the Rfam family "Bacterial small subunit ribosomal RNA", at positions 505 to 918 of the family's 1533-position model. The record is from RNAcentral.
GUGUCAGCCGCCGCGGUAAUACGGGAGUGGCAAGCGUUAUCCGGAAUUAUUGGGCGUAAAGCGUCCGCAGGCGGCCUUGAAAGUCUGUCGUUAAAGCGUGGAGCUUAACUCCAUUUCGGCGGUGGAAACUACAAGGCUUGAGUGUGGUAGGGGCAGAGGGAAUUCCCGGUGUAGCGGUGAAAUGCGUAGAUAUCGGGAAGAACACCAGUGGCGAAGGCGCUCUGCUGGGCCAUAACUGACGCUCAUGGACGAAAGCUAGGGGAGCGAAAGGGAUUAGAUACCCCUGUAGUCCUAGCCGUAAACGAUGAACACUAGGUGUCGGGGGAAUCGACCCCCUCGGUGUCGUAGCUAACGCGUUAAGUGUUCCGCCUGGGGAGUACGCACGCAAGUGUGAAACUUAAAUGAAUUGACGGGG